Molecule: ribosomal RNA, 460 nt
Filed under: uncultured bacterium
Lineage: Bacteria
Description: partial 16S ribosomal RNA
Rfam family: Bacterial small subunit ribosomal RNA
Source: RNAcentral
CCUACGGGAGGCAGCAGUGAGGAAUAUUGGUCAAUGGACGCAAGUCUGAACCAGCCAUGCCGCGUGCAGGAAGACGGCUCUAUGAGUUGUAAACUGCUUUUGUACGAGGGUAAACGCAGAUACGCGUAUCUGUCUGAAAGUAUCGUACGAAUAAGGAUCGGCUAACUCCGUGCCAGCAGCCGCGGUAAUACGGAGGAUUCAAGCGUUAUCCGGAUUUAUUGGGUUUAAAGGGUGCGUAGGCGGUCGGAUAAGUUAGAGGUGAAAUCCCGAGGCUCAACUUCGGAAUUGCCUCUGAUACUGUUCGGCGAGAGAGUAGUUGCGGUAGGCGGAAUGUGUGGUGUAGCGGUGAAAUGCUUAGAGAUCAUACAGAACACCGAUUGCGAAGGCAGCUUACCAAGCUACUUCUGACGUUGAGGCACGAAAGCGUGGGGAGCAAACGGGAUUAGAUACCCCUGUAGUC